Molecule: ribosomal RNA, 110 nt
Filed under: uncultured bacterium
Lineage: Bacteria
Description: partial 16S ribosomal RNA
Rfam family: Bacterial small subunit ribosomal RNA
Source: RNAcentral
CCGCGUGAGGGAUGACUGCCUAUGGGUUGUAAACCUCUUUUUUCAGGGAGGAAUCAAAUGACGUGUACCUGAAGAAUAAGCAUCGGCUAACUCCGUGCCAGCAGCCGCGG